Molecule: long non-coding RNA, 460 nt
Filed under: Sparus aurata (gilthead seabream)
Lineage: Eukaryota; Metazoa; Chordata; Actinopteri; Spariformes; Sparidae
Description: lncRNA (ENSSAUG00010013350.1)
Source: RNAcentral
GCCGUGUUGAGUGGGGAAUUAACAGAAAGACGCCAAAGCACUGUGAUAUGAGCUGAUUUGGGAGCGGGCACCAGGCACUGCUGCGCUCUGUAUCCGCAGCCGUGGAGGGCUUCCCCCCUCCCGCUGUAAUAUUUAUGACAAAACGGAGGCAAAUUAUUCUGGUCACGUUUUUGGCUGACAGCCGGCUGUCCUGGAGAGCGCUGGAGUGAAUCGGGGUCCAGUGUUGGCGAUAGCGCAGCGCACCGACACCUGCAGUAGGAUGUAAAGGGAAUUCCCACUCACCAAACUGAUUGAUGUUGUCACAAUGCUGCGGUGAUGGUCCGGUAAUGUUUAGGCAAAAAGACCACUUGGUUUUGAAUCAACCACAGAUCUGCCAUCAUCCUCAUCACUGCCUCAUCUGAGCGAGAGGAAAAAGAAAGUCAGAGCAUGGUCUGGUGUGGCGGCCGCUGUUGCUAUGUGU